Molecule: ribosomal RNA, 253 nt
Filed under: uncultured bacterium
Lineage: Bacteria
Description: partial 16S ribosomal RNA
Rfam family: Bacterial small subunit ribosomal RNA
Source: RNAcentral
GACGGAGGGUGCAAGCGUUGCUCGGAAUCACUGGGCGUAAAGGGUGCGUAGGCGGCCGUGCAAGUCUGGCGUGAAAGCCCCGGGCUCAGCCCGGGAAGUGCGCUCGAAACUGUCUGGCUUGAGUCCGGAAGGGGCGAGUGGAAUUCCUGGUGUAGCGGUGAAAUGCGCAGAUAUCAGGAGGAACACCAAUGGCGAAGGCAGCUCGCUGGAACGGUACUGACGCUGAGGCGCGAAAGCGUGGGGAGCGAACAGG